This 723-nucleotide unclassified non-coding RNA is filed under the name Excentrodendron hsienmu. Its description in RNAcentral is "partial contains small subunit ribosomal RNA, internal transcribed spacer 1, 5.8S ribosomal RNA, and internal transcribed spacer 2". The stretch from base 332 to 487 matches the Rfam family "5.8S ribosomal RNA". The record is from RNAcentral. Lineage: Eukaryota; Viridiplantae; Streptophyta; Magnoliopsida; Malvales; Malvaceae.
AAGGUUUCCGUAGGUGAACCUGCGGAAGGAUCAUUGUCGAAACCUGCCUAGCAGAACGACCCGCGAACUAGUUAACAACACCGAGGGGGUGGCAAGGAUGCCUCUGUGCACCGAACCCUUCCUCCGAGCCCGGGCGUGCGGUGCCGUCUCAUCUCUGUCGGCUCUUGCGAGUGUUUGAAGGACGGCAUCGCCUCUCGCGGCUUAACAACAAACUCCCGGCGCGAGUCGCGCCAAGGAAACGAAACGAAAAAGAGCAUGCUGGUCUUCGACGGCAUCGUUCGCGGUGCGCGGUCGAAACGCCUCGUGUCUCCUUUCUUGCAAUGUCUGAAACGACUCUCGGCAACGGAUAUCUCGGCUCUCGCAUCGAUGAAGAACGUAGCGAAAUGCGAUACUUGGUGUGAAUUGCAGAAUCCCGUGAACCAUCGAGUCUUUGAACGCAAGUUGCGCCCCAAGCCAUUAGGCCGAGGGCACGCCUGCCUGGGUGUCACGCAUCGUCGUCCCCCAAUCCUUUCGGUAUCGGGGACGGAAAAUGGCCUCCCGUGCGCAUCCCGCUCGCGGUUGGCCCAAAAGCUAUUCCUCGGCGACGACCGUGCCGCGACGAUCGGUGGUGUGAUGCCUCGAGCAUUGCUCGUCCCUAGUCGCGAGCGCCCGUUGUCCGGUCGGAAGACUUUCGGACCCUUUGCGCAUCGUACCGACGAUGCUCGCUUCGCGACCCCAGGUCAG